This 213-nucleotide ribosomal RNA is filed under the name uncultured bacterium. RNAcentral describes it as "partial 16S ribosomal RNA". It matches the Rfam family "Bacterial small subunit ribosomal RNA", at positions 524 to 736 of the family's 1533-position model. The record is from RNAcentral.
UACGUAGGGGGCAAGCGUUGUCCGGAAUCAUUGGGCGUAAAGAGCGUGUAGGCGGCCUGGUAGGUCCGCUGUGAAAGUCCAGGGCUCAACCCUGGAAUGCCGGUGGAAACUGUCAGGCUCGAGUCCGGAAGAGGCGAGUGGAAUCCUGGUAUAGCGGUGAAAUGCGCAGAUAUCAGGAGGAACACCAAUGGGCGAAGGCAGCUCGCUGGGACG